UGGGGAAUAUUGCACAAUGGGGGAAACCCUGAUGCAGCGACGCCGCGUGAACGAAGAAGGUAUUCGUAUCGUAAAGUUCUGUCCUAUGGGAAGAUAAUGACAGUACCAUAGAAGAAAGCUCCGGCUAAAUACGUGCCAGCAGCCGCGGUAAUACGUAUGGAGCGAGCGUUGUCCGAAAUUAUUGGGCGUAAAGGGUACGCAGGCGGUUUAAUAAGUCGAAUGUUAAAGAUCGGGGCUCAACCCCGCAAAGCAUUGGAAACUGAUAAACUUGAGUAGUGGAGAGGAAAGUGGAAUUCCUAGUGUAGUGGUGAAAUACGUAGAUAUUAGGAGGAAUACCAGUAGCGAAGGCGACUUUCUGGACACAAACUGACGCUGAGGUACGAAAGCGUGGGGAGCAAACAGG
This 403-nucleotide ribosomal RNA is filed under the name bacterium. RNAcentral's name for it is "partial 16S ribosomal RNA". It matches the Rfam family "Bacterial small subunit ribosomal RNA", at positions 355 to 776 of the family's 1533-position model. The record is from RNAcentral.